UACAGAGGUCUCAAGCGUUGUUCGGAUUCAUUGGGCGUAAAGGGUGCGCAGGCGGCGCGGUAAGGCGGGUGUGAAAUCUCGGAGCUUAACUCCGAAACUGCAUUCGAUACUGCCGUGCUUGAGGACUGGAGAGGAGACUGGAAUUUACGGUGUAGCGGUGAAAUGCGUAGAUAUCGUAAGGAAGACCAGUGGCGAAGGCGGGUCUCUGGACAGUUCCUGACGCUGAGGCACGAAGGUCAGGGGAGCAAACGGG
Molecule: ribosomal RNA, 253 nt
Filed under: uncultured bacterium
Lineage: Bacteria
Description: partial 16S ribosomal RNA
Rfam family: Bacterial small subunit ribosomal RNA
Source: RNAcentral